This 497-nucleotide ribosomal RNA is filed under the name uncultured bacterium. RNAcentral describes it as "partial 16S ribosomal RNA". It matches the Rfam family "Bacterial small subunit ribosomal RNA", at positions 28 to 507 of the family's 1533-position model. The record is from RNAcentral.
GAUGAACGCUGGCGGCGUGCCUAAUACAUGCCAGUCGAGCGAACAGACGAGGAGCUUGCUCCUCUGACGUUAGCGGCGGACGGGUGAGUAACACGUGGAUAACCUACCUAUAAGACUGGGAUAACUUCGGGAAACCGGAGCUAAUACCGGAUAAUAUAUUGAACCGCAUGGUUCAAUAGUGAAAGACGGUUUUGCUGUCACUUAUAGAUGGAUCCGCGCCGCAUUAGCUAGUUGGUAAGGUAACGGCUUACCAAGGCAACGAUGCGUAGCCGACCUGAGAGGGGGAUCGGCCACACUGGAAGUGAGACACGGUCCAGACUCCUACGGGAGGCAGCAGUAGGGAAUCUUCCGCAGUGGGCGAAAGCUUGACGGAGCAACGCCGCGUGAGUGAUGAAGGUCUUCGGAUCGUAAAACUCUGUUAUUAGGGAAGAACAAAUGUGUAAGUAACUAUGCACGUCUUGACGGUACCUAAUCAGAAAGCCACGGCUAACUACGUG